UCAGCCGCCGCGGUAAGACGUAGGGGGCGAGCGUUGUCCGGAAUUACUGGGCGUAAAGAGCACGUAGGCGGAGACUUAAGUCAGGUGUGAAAGACCGUGGCUCAACCACGGAUGGGCACUUGAAACUGGGUCCCUUGAGGGCAGGAGAGGAAAGCAGAAUUCCUGGUGUAGCGGUGAAAUGCGUAGAAAUCAGGAGGAAUACCAGUGGCGAAGGCGGCUUUCUGGACUGACCCUGACGCUGAGGUGCGAAAGCGUGGGUAGCAAACAGGAUUAGAUACCCUGGUAGUCCACGCCGUAAACGAUGGAUACUAGGUGUGGGAGGUAUCGACCCCUUCCGUGCCGCAGUUAACGCAAUAAGUAUCCCGCCUGGGGAGUACGAUCGCAAGGUUGAAACUUAAAGGAAUUGGCGGGGGA
Molecule: ribosomal RNA, 414 nt
Filed under: uncultured bacterium
Lineage: Bacteria
Description: bacterial SSU rRNA
Rfam family: Bacterial small subunit ribosomal RNA
Source: RNAcentral